UCCUCUGCAGGAGGGAGAGGGAACAAAAUUCCAUUUUUUUCCCCCUUGGAACUCUCAAAGCUGUGUUUAAACAAUAAACUUUAUUUGGAUCACAGAACCUUCAGCUCUCUGGACCAAACACACUCCCUGCCCAUUCCUGGUUCUGUGCUCCCAGCUGGUGAGGUUCUGGUUCCUGGGGAGCCCAGGGUGGGUUAUUAUUUGCAGGUUAUUUACAUUUAUUGUGCUUUAUCAGGAUGGGUAAAUCAGCUCCUGCCCCUGAAGCACACCCUGGCAGGCAGUGGGAACAAAUGGGAUUUACUGGGAGAACUGAGGGGGAACCAGAGCAGGGACACUCCCGGACGUGGCCAGGUGAGCGCAGGGACGCUCGGUGUCCUGGGAGGGUCCAGCACGGGAGGCACAGCUCGGUGCAGCAGGGGGAACUGUUCACCUGCACAUGGCACUGCCAGGUGUUCCCGGGAUCCUGCUCGUCCAGGAGUGCCUGAGCAGUGGUGGCCCAACCCAGCUGAAAUUCAGGAAAACAGCCUGGAUCCCACAAAAAUGACAAAAGGGGGAGAGGCGGAGGAGUGCCUGCACGCAGAAAUGACAGAGGGAUGUUUGGGAGCUCCUCCAUCAGGAGGGUUUGACAAGGGAUGGCUGGGGUCUGAGCAGGGCCAGGAGAUGGAUCCAUGGUCCCUGUGGGUGCCUCCAGCCCACAGGAAUGGCAGAGCCAUCCCCACCUGUGCUGCUGUGGAUUUACUGCGCUGUCCCCUUCCCCAGGGAUCCAUCCUGGAUUUAUGGCUGCGCUCAGUGACACUCCAGGGCCGUAAAUAACUGCACCCACAAUGCCUGACUUUGCUUUAUGGGUCCCCAUCAGUGAUUAAAUUACAUUUUCCUGGAUAUAACUUUCACUGGGGAGGGACACACUCACAGAGAAAGGGCUGCCUGGGUGACCUUGGCCUUCAGCUUCGGGGUUUUGGCAAAAAAGGGUUUAUAAAACACCAGGAAGAGCAUAAAGGAAGUUCAGGGAGGGUAGGAGAUGAUUGCAGUCAACACGAGGAUGCAUUUCCUUCCUCCGUAUGUUCUUAGAGGCAUGGAAUGGUUCUGGGCUCCCCCAGUGCUCCAAAUGUCACUGGCUUUUCCUUUUCCUAAGAAAAAUAAAGAGAAAAGGCUUUUUUUGUGUUGUUUUGGU
Molecule: long non-coding RNA, 1168 nt
Filed under: Zonotrichia albicollis (white-throated sparrow)
Lineage: Eukaryota; Metazoa; Chordata; Aves; Passeriformes; Passerellidae
Description: lncRNA (ENSZALG00000011754.1)
Source: RNAcentral